RNAcentral lists this unclassified non-coding RNA (306 nucleotides) under plant metagenome. Its description in RNAcentral is "partial contains 5.8S ribosomal RNA, internal transcribed spacer 2, and large subunit ribosomal RNA". The stretch from base 1 to 105 matches the Rfam family "5.8S ribosomal RNA", at positions 50 to 154 of the family's 154-position model. The record is from RNAcentral.
GAAAUGCGAUAAGUAAUGUGAAUUGCAGAAUUCAGUGAAUCAUCGAAUCUUUGAACGCACAUUGCGCCCGCCAGCACUCUGGCGGGCAUGCCUGUUCGAGCGUCAUUUCAACCCUCAGAACCCCUUGCGGGAUCUGGCGUUGGGGAUUGGCAUCCAGCCAGCCCCGAAAUCUAGUGGCGGUCCCUCCGCGACCUCCCCUGCGCAGUAGCGAUACCUCGCAGCGGGACAGCGGUCUGACCACGCCGAAAACCCCCAACUUCUCAAGGUUGACCUCGAAUCAGGUAGGAAUACCCGCUGAACUUAAGC